Molecule: long non-coding RNA, 894 nt
Organism: Elaeis guineensis (African oil palm)
Lineage: Eukaryota; Viridiplantae; Streptophyta; Magnoliopsida; Arecales; Arecaceae
Source: RefSeq, a predicted model, not a curated record
UCAAUUUCAGACGGUUCGCAAGCCCAUCGCCGACCUCUUGACCCGACGGGCCCGACCGCUUCCCACUCGAGCGCGCCCGCCCGUGAAAGGACAGAGAAAGUUCGAGGGCUUUCUCGAAUUCAAAGGGGGAAACCGGUGGCGAGGAUGGUGGUGCUCCGUCGGACCCGGGAACCGCUGCCGGCGGCGACGGAGGGGAGCGAAAUUCCGGAGCCCCAGUGGGCCUGGACGCCGGCCGGUCCGGGACGCCGUCGACUCUGGCCACUUAGAAUCUCACCCUCAACUCGUUGCUGCCUUCCUCGCCCAACCCUAACUCGGUUUACGUUCACGCUAUGCAUUUUCUGAUUCAAGUUUGUGAGAACUGCACUGUGAGCUGUUGGAAACUGCUUUGCUAUCAAAUAAAGAAGCCAGUGGAUCAGGAUUUGGAUGGUUCCUGACCUACAGGAGGGAUUGCAAGGAAGGGCUUAAUGGGUGGUCCAUACCCCAAGAUCUUCACUUUCAUUAGGUAUGCUAGCAUACAAGAUUGCUCGGUCACACUGUAUAUUAUGAUUCAUGUGGUCACAUGUGAUUCGAAAGGUAAAGCUGGUGUAGGCAUUCGACUGUACAGGGUAUGGUUGGUCCAGAAUUCGGCGAUACCACUAUAUCACGGGGUAGUCCUGGAAGACUAUAAAGAUUUUUACUUUGCUGUUCUCAAUGGGAGUUGUUCGCUGACUGCUGUUAUGUAUUGACAUUCAGGCCUGGUUUCCAUACAGGAAGACUUUGAUAUUGUUCCAUCCCCUGCCCCACCCUUCUAACAGGUCUUUCUUUUUGUUGUAAUGACUCAGUUCAGUAUAUUGAGAUACCCAUGCAAUAAAGUUCUUUCAUCCAUAUUUUUCAAAUACAGAAAGGUUGUUGUCA